RNAcentral lists this long non-coding RNA (419 nucleotides) under Manacus vitellinus (golden-collared manakin). Its description in RNAcentral is "lncRNA (ENSMVIG00005009135.1)". Lineage: Eukaryota; Metazoa; Chordata; Aves; Passeriformes; Pipridae. The record is from RNAcentral.
ACCAAUAUUCUGUGUCAGAGAAGGAAAUAACUUAGAUAAGAUCAAUUUUCAAACAUGUUUCUUCAGGAAGGAACUAAAGAGCACUCCUGAAAACUACCUCCUGGAAUGUAAAAAUUCUGAUCUUCGGGAAAGUAAAGGAACUGCUGUGUGAGAUGAAAAAUGUCAAUAUAUUUGGAGGACAGGCUAUUUCAGACUGGUGGUGAACAACUCCAAAGUCAUGUUUUGGUGAACUUCUGCUCCAAUACCUAUAAGAAGAGUUGGGGCAGAACAGGGCUGUGAGUGUUUGCAGCUGCCCUUGGAGCUGGAGUGGAGGGAGUCCCCCCUGUGCUGCCCAGAGCUCAGCACAAAGGGAUGUGCAAGGUAAACUGCUUUUAAAAAGUCACUGGCUGGGCCUUUCAAAUCAUGUUUAGGGUUCUCUC